UUUACUGUCUGUUCCGUGUUAUUAUUCAAUAGCAUGCGCGAAUAAAUUCUCCUAUCCUCAGGAAGAAUUCAACUUCUAGUUUCGGUGAAAGCUAGUUAAAUAUAAUCAACGGAAACAACCGUGCUAUCGAGAUAAUGUCAAGGAGACAGGACUUGGCUGGAUUUGAUGCGUUGGGAUACUAACGGAGUCAUCGAAACUGAUACCAGGAGUCCAUCCGGCAACAUCGCAACCUUCCUCUUAACCAUUAACCGUUCGGCACCGAGCGCCACUCUGACUGCCUUUGUUGCAUCCAUAAAAAGAGAUGAAAUAAUGAAAGAGAAGAAAAAAAUCACAACCACUAGUCACACACUGUCCUACGAUACCGUAAAAAAUAAAAACAAUCAGCGGGAUGAGGAUCUGGGACAAAACAAAAGGCAGCGUUCCUCGAAAUGGUAAUGGAGGAAACUCAAGGUGAUCUUGGAUCCUCUAAUGGGCGACCUUCAAAAUCCCAUCUUCGCUGGGAUAAGAGUCCUAUGGAUUACAGAGGGGUCUCUGAGAGAUUGAUUUUGUCGACUGUUGAGUUUCUUGGUGAUUAUGGAUGAUUGAUAUUUGUUGCUUUUUUAUUUUGCAAUUAAUAUCCUAUAUUUGAUGGCCAUUGGUCAAGUUAUACAGAGGGAACAACAUCAUUAUUCUAUACAUUCCAAAACGUAUACUGCGAAAAUUUCAGUAGGGUUAAAUUAUGUUUUCCUUGAACUAUUAUGAAGGACUAUUGUUAAGAAUAAUAAACCAAAAUCAGAUUAGCACUGAUGUGAAGUAGU
Harmonia axyridis is the source of this 797-nucleotide long non-coding RNA. RefSeq lists it as uncharacterized. The record is from RefSeq and is a predicted model, not a curated record. The transcript is spliced from 2 exons. Lineage: Eukaryota; Metazoa; Arthropoda; Insecta; Coleoptera; Coccinellidae.